Molecule: microRNA precursor, 81 nt
Filed under: Medicago truncatula (barrel medic)
Lineage: Eukaryota; Viridiplantae; Streptophyta; Magnoliopsida; Fabales; Fabaceae
Description: MIR5269 microRNA precursor family
Rfam family: MIR5269 microRNA precursor family
Source: Rfam by way of RNAcentral
UUGGGUGAAAUCAAUGUGGGUCCUACACUUUGGAAAUGGGACCCCGCAUAAAGUGGUGGGACCUACAUUGAUUUCACCCAA